GGCGCAUAGCUCAGCGGGAGAGCACACCCUUCACACGGGUGGGGUCGUAGGUUCAAUCCCUACUGCGCCCACCA
This 74-nucleotide transfer RNA is filed under the name Azospirillum sp. Sp 7. Its description in RNAcentral is "tRNA-Val". It matches the Rfam family "tRNA". From Rfam's summary of the family: Transfer RNA (tRNA) molecules are approximately 80 nucleotides in length. Their secondary structure includes four short double-helical elements and three loops (D, anti-codon, and T loops). Lineage: Bacteria; Pseudomonadati; Pseudomonadota; Alphaproteobacteria; Rhodospirillales; Azospirillaceae. The record is from RNAcentral.